Sapajus apella (tufted capuchin) is the source of this 2550-nucleotide long non-coding RNA. RefSeq lists it as uncharacterized. Lineage: Eukaryota; Metazoa; Chordata; Mammalia; Primates; Cebidae. The transcript has 2 exons. The record is from RefSeq and is a predicted model, not a curated record.
CGAUCUCCUGACCUCGUGAUCCGCCUGCCUCAGCCUCCCAAAGUGCUGGGAUUACAGGUGUGAGCCACCGCGCCUGGUCAGAAUAUUGAGUCUUAUUGGAACAUGUGUUGAGCUCUAUGAUUUGUAUUGGGUGAUUGUACUGGACUAUAUAGGAAGGCAUCACCAUAACGGAUAGUUAGGCAUUAACACAGCUAGAGUUGAUGAUCAGGGUUUCAAAACCUGGGAUUAAAAAAUACCUGUGUGCUAGUGAUUUAUUUUUUAACUUGUUUUUCAGUGUGGUUUGUAGUGUUACUGAUUUGAUUUUGGCAAAUCAGCAUUUAUUAUGACUAGUCUUGAGUAUAUAAGCUCAGCUAUAGUCUGGUUCAGUGGUUAUUUAAUAAUGGACUUAGCUAAAAUCCAUUAGAAUGUUCAUACAAGGAUUAAUUUUGUAUUCUUUCUACCUCUUUAGUAAAAUAAAACAGGGUCUGUUACCUAGCUUGGAAGAUUUGCUGUUCUAUACAAUUGCGGAAGGACAAGAGAAAAUACCUGUUCAUAAAUUUAUUACAGCACUCAAAUCUACAGGAUUGCGAACGUCUGAUCCCAGGUUGAAAGAGUGUAUGGAUAUGUUAAGAUUAACUCUUCAAACAACAUCAGAUGGUGUCAUGCUAGACAAAGAUCUUUUUAAAAAGUAAAAGUUUCUGCCAAACCUUUAAUGGUGAUUUGCUAUGCUAUACGGUGAUUCUGCUUUAAAAAAAAAGUUGUAUCUUUGAAGGCCACUGCUUCCUGUGUAAUGGAAAAAAGGAGAUUUAUAAACAUCAUUUGUUUGAAGAACUUGGUACACAUUAGGUUCUAUAAUACAUCGGGCUAAGAGUGUACUUUCUUUAAAUCUGUUCCAAGGAAAUUUAGACACUAGUGUUUCCAGUUUACAGUCUCUGGAGAUUGCAUUCAGUUUGAGUAGAGUACAUCUUUCAUCCUGUCAUUGCUUAUCUUGAUCCCCAAUUCAUCUGCAUGACUUGCAGGCUUUCUCAGCAUGGUCUCUAGUUCUUUUCCACAAGGUGAUUUAGGUGACAUCAUAAAAUUGAGAGGGCUUCAGACAAACCUGUGUUCCUCACGUUACAUAUCUGCAUUGUCUGCUCCUCUCCUCUCUUCAGACGUAUUAAUACAUAGGCUUUUGGCUAUUUUCAUUUUCCUCAAGACAGUAAAGAACUAAAGGCAACUUUGGAGAUUAAAGCCUUGAUUUUGUUGAAUGAGAAUUUUUACUUUGAUGUUUCUGUAUUUGCAUAUAUUUAUUAUUUAUCUUUAUUAAUGUGUUUCUAUUAGUUUGAUUACUUAAAGAUUUAAUGGACAUGUGUGUAAUGGAUCCCAAAGAAUCAAAUAAUAUUUUAAACUACUACUAUUUAAGUGGAAACUAGUAUAAAACUGUAAAUACUACUAUAAGAUAUUGGCUUUUUCCAGACGUGGAUCCAUAAAAUUUCUGCCAUCUACUUUGAAAGUUUGUUAUGUGUGGAUGUAUUUACCUUUAUUUUGUUUUAUUUUGGGGGUUGGGUGAUUUGUUCUAGAUAUCAUCCGGACUGUUAAGUCAUCUGAAGGUAAAAGUAUUUAACUGAGGUUCUCUGAAGUUUCCUGGCAUGCUGUGAAGCACUGCUGACAGCUUGGGAUUCUUACCUUUUUACCAGGAGAUUAUUAGUUCUGUUAACUUAGCUGACCUUGAAGUGUAGACUUUAGGCCCAUGUUGCAAUUGGUGUUAGGAAUUUUAACUCUCAAGAACCUUUUUUUUUUAGGAGACAGAAAAACAUCAAUUCUAAAUUUAUUGGUAUCUUUGCAAUAAGAAUUAUUUUUCAUGUUCAUGAACCAUUUGCAAAAUAUUCUGAUUAAAGUGCUUUCUGCGGGCAUUAUUUUAUUGUAUCUGUGAAUGAAGUUGUUAGAGUAAUGGUAGGUAGAUCUGUUGAUAAUCAGUAGGGGAACUGUUUUGGAAUUUUAAGUGGAAGCAUUAUUUUAUACACUUUUAAUACUUGAAAAAAUAUUUGUGCUUUAUAAACAUGUUGCUAUGUUUAAAUAUGAAAUUUAAAACAAUUUAAAUCCUCUGAUUAUUAAGGCAGGGAACCAUAAGCAUUAUGUUUUCUACCUUCAAUUAUAUUAAGAGAGAGUAAUUACCACUGUUUUAAACACUAAUCCAAUUUUUAAAAAAUCUAUGCUUGUAAUACGGGCAGUUUCCAACUUGACAAAUGUUUUAUGGUCUAUAUGAGCAACCAGUAGAAAAGUACAAGUCUAUAGGCAUAAUUAUUUCUCUUUUUAGUUUUAGAAUGAGGUGGUUCAAAACCUCCAACUAUUAACCUUUUAAUAGUUUUCAAUCACCUGGAAAGGUGAUUGCUUCACAGAUAUUCUUUUCUCUGUUUUCAUAAGUUAUCUAGUUGCCAGAAAUAAACUUCUCCCUUCAUGUUAUAACAUGGGAUUCAUUUUUCUCCAGAGAAAUAAUUUAUAAAGGUGGGUAGGUUUGGUUGAAGCAAUGUGUUAGUAUUUUACCUAAAAUAUAUUGUAGAUUAAUAUUUCUAGACUUUAAUGGUAAUCUGA